Long non-coding RNA from Nothoprocta perdicaria, 1412 nucleotides. RefSeq lists it as uncharacterized. NCBI's taxonomy places the organism in Eukaryota, Metazoa, Chordata, Aves, Tinamiformes, Tinamidae. The record is from RefSeq and is a predicted model, not a curated record. The transcript has 4 exons.
AGCUGAGUAGAAGCUGGAGUAGGGGAGUUGCUGACUUGCCUUUCCAUACAGGCAUGAUGAAACUACUGCACUGCACUCAAGCUGCAGUAAAAAGUGAGAUGCUGUCAGAGGCCACGAAGCGGGUGCAAAUGAAAACCAGAGUUAUGCUAAUUUAAAAUGAGCAGCGGUCGUUGGAAUUAUUUGUGGCCUCGUGGUGCAGCAGGACGCAGCACAUCACUUGAAAAGCUGCAGUAUGUUUUCUGACAUCAUCGUGACCUGAUGUAAAACAUCCUGUGACAGUCUCCAAGGCCAACACCUUGGUGAGAUGAGGAGGAACAAAGGAAGCAGGACUCUACAUAGGCAGGCACCAACCUCAAGGUGACCCUACUUUGCUUUCCCACUCUGGCUGCGGUGGUAGUUGGCCCUGGACAGCUGCGUUCCGCUGCUCUGUGGCAUUGAGUUGGCAGCUUUGGACUCUACAGCAUUUUUGUAAUGACUUCUUUAAAGGUUUGAGACCUUCUCCAGGCAAGAAGGUCUUCUGGUUCAUCUCAGGUCCCACCACAACUGCAUUAAUGUUAGGGAAUAGAACCUGACCGUGCUUUUCUCUGAGGGACAUGUUGCAUCAACCAAAGGAAGGACAUUUAUAAUAUACAAAGUGCUCAUUGCUCCCUCAAAAGGCCUAUCCCUAGACUUUUAACUUUGUGUAAAGAUUAAAUGUUUGCCCUGCUCUAAGCUUUGAAAGAACAAAGUCCAGCAUCCCUAGCUAUGAUUUAUUAUUGCUGAAUUAAAAUCAUGUCUAUUUAAAACAAGUCUAGGAUGUUACUGACUUAAACUGAAGCAACUGGAGUGUUUCGUAUGGAUCAAAUAUAGUCCAUAAUUAACCAAUGCCAGCAUUAACGUUGUUACUGACAAUUUACAAUUAUAGUCCAUUUACCCAGUUCUUUAUUCUGUGAUUAUCCAAAGGAAACCCAUGAUAACUAUCAGCACAAUUAGUAAAGCAGACAUUUGAACUUGUUUAAACAACUGAACAUGAGAAAUAAGAAAAAGUAUUGGAGGAUUUUAUAGGUGUUAGGAAAAUUGGCCAAGAAACUAUCAUGAGCAUGCUAGUGACUCAUCUUUUUCAUUGUGUGAAAACGUUUUAGUGAUACCUUUCGAUAAGACAGGGAUACCUCUCAGGUAAUUACUCAACUGUGACCAGUUUCAGUUUCUUUCUUAACUCUUAAAACUGACAAAUUGAGAACAGUUUAAUUGGGCUACUCUAACAUGGAGCUUCCUGGAGAUCACUGGUUUAGGCUUGAAAACUUUGAACCUUGAAGCAGAGCUUUCUGCUUCUGGUUAAAGCACAUCUUUUUAAAAACAAACAAUCAAAAAAUGCACUCCUGUGGUUUUGCUUAGUUCUCCUCCUCUCAUCCGCAUUCUAUAUAUAUAGUAUG